UCGCCUGUUUAUCAAAAACAUAGUUUGGUGAAAAAUUAUACUAAAUGAAUUCUGCCCAGUGUUUUAAUAAAUGGCCGCAGUACCCUGACUGUGCUAAGGUAGCAUAAUCAAUUGGCUUUUAAUUGAAGUCUGGAAUGAAUGAAAUAAUGGAGGAAUGCUGUCUUAAAAGUAUUAAUUUAAAUUUAUUUAAAAGGUGAAAAUACCUUUUUUUAAAAAAAAGACGAGAAGACCCUAAGAAUUUUUAGAUUAAAAUUUUGAAUUUAAUCUUUUUGUUGGGGCGACAGAUUAGAAAAACUAAACCUAAUUUUUUAAAUUGGCGAAUUUUUUAAGUAAUAAAAAAUUACCUUAGGGAUAACAGCAUAAUAUAAAAUUUUUAUGUUUGUGACCUCGAUGUUGGACUAGGAACUUUAUGGCUAGCAGUCAGAAAAGAUUUAUUCUGUUCGAAUAAUUUAAUCCU
Molecule: ribosomal RNA, 457 nt
Filed under: Bulinus ugandae
Lineage: Eukaryota; Metazoa; Mollusca; Gastropoda; Planorbidae
Description: partial large subunit ribosomal RNA
Rfam family: Bacterial large subunit ribosomal RNA
Source: RNAcentral